This 101-nucleotide ribosomal RNA is filed under the name Cordylochernes scorpioides. RNAcentral's name for it is "partial 5.8S ribosomal RNA". The record is from RNAcentral. Lineage: Eukaryota; Metazoa; Arthropoda; Arachnida; Pseudoscorpiones; Chernetidae.
AAGAACAUCUACUGUUUUUCCGGUUCUCGUCCGAUCACCAAAGUUAAGCAAUGUCAGGCCCGGUCAGUACUUGAGAGGGUGACCACCGGGUGCUGUAGGCU